This 504-nucleotide ribosomal RNA is filed under the name uncultured bacterium. RNAcentral's name for it is "partial 16S ribosomal RNA". It matches the Rfam family "Bacterial small subunit ribosomal RNA", at positions 28 to 523 of the family's 1533-position model. The record is from RNAcentral.
GAUGAACGCUAGCUACAGGCUUAACACAUGCAAGUCGAGGGGCAGCAUGAACUUAGCUUGCUAAGUUUGAUGGCGACCGGCGCACGGGUGAGUAACGCGUAUCCAACCUGCCCUUGUCCACCGGAUAACCCGUCGAAAGGCGGACUAACACGGUAGGCAGUCCACAGCAGGCAUCUAACGUGGACGAAAUGAAAAGGAGAAGGAGGGGGAUGCGUCUGAUUAGCUUGUUGGCGGGGUAACGGCCCACCAAGGCGACGAUCAGUAGGGGUUCUGAGAGGAAGGUCCCCCACAUUGGAACUGAGACACGGUCCAAACUCCUACGGGAGGCAGCAGUGAGGAAUAUUGGUCAAUGGACGGAAGUCUGAACCAGCCAAGUAGCGUGCAGGAUGACGGCCCUAUGGGUUGUAAACUGCUUUUAUAUGGGGAUAAAGUGAGCCACGUGUGGCUUAUUGCAGGUACCAUAUGAAUAAGGACCGGCUAAUUCCGUGCCAGCCGCCGCCGUAA